AUACGUAGGGAGCGAGCGUUGUCCGGAAUUACUGGGCGUAAAGGGCGCGUAGGCGGCGCUUCAAGUCGUCUGUCAAAUGGGAGGGCUUAACCCUUUUUCGCAGACGAAACUGGAGAGCUUGAGAAGCAGAGAGGCAAACAGAAUUCCUGGUGUAGCGGUGAAAUGCGUAGAUAUCAGGAAGAAUACCGGUGGCGAAGGCGGUUUGCUGGCUGCAUACUGACGCUGAAGCGCGAAAGCCAGGGGAGCAAACGGGAUUAGAUACCCCGGUAGUCCUGGCAGUAAACGAUGUAUGCUGGGUGUGAGACUAGCGAUAGUUUCGUGCCGAAGUUAACGCGAUAAGCAUACCGCCUGGGGAGUACGGUCGCAAGAUUGAAACUCAAAUGAAUUGACGGGG
This 394-nucleotide ribosomal RNA is filed under the name uncultured bacterium. RNAcentral describes it as "partial 16S ribosomal RNA". It matches the Rfam family "Bacterial small subunit ribosomal RNA", at positions 523 to 918 of the family's 1533-position model. The record is from RNAcentral.